Molecule: non-coding RNA, 92 nt
Organism: Acanthosepion pharaonis
Lineage: Eukaryota; Metazoa; Mollusca; Cephalopoda; Sepiida; Sepiidae
Source: the annotation of a GenBank genome assembly
UCUACACCGGUUCACGUACGAUCACCGAAGUUAAGCAACGUCGAGCUUGGUCAGUACUUAGGUUAUCACUUGGGAAUACGAGGUGCUGCAUU